CCUACGGGAGGCAGCAGUAGGGAAUAUUGCUCAAUGGGGGAAACCCUGAAGCAGCAACGCAGCGUGGAGGAUGAAGGUUUUCGGAUUGUAAACUCCUUUUGUUAGAGAAGAUAAUGACGGUAUCUAACGAAUAAGCACCGGCUAACUCCGUGCCAGCAGCCGCGGGAAUACGGAGGGUGCAAGCGUUACUCGGAAUCACUGGGCGUAAAGAGCGCGUAGGCGGGAUAGCAAGUCAGAUGUGAAAUCCUAUGGCUUAACCAUAGAACUGCAUUUGAAACUGUUAUUCUAGAGUAUGGGAGAGGUAGGUGGAAUUCUUGGUGUAGGGGUAAAAUCCGUAGAGAUCAAGAGGAAUACUCAUUGCGAAGGCGACCUGCUAGAACAUAACUGACGCUGAUGCGCGAAAGCGUGGGGAGCAAACAGGAUUAGAUACCCUAGUAGUC
Molecule: ribosomal RNA, 440 nt
Filed under: uncultured bacterium
Lineage: Bacteria
Description: partial 16S ribosomal RNA
Rfam family: Bacterial small subunit ribosomal RNA
Source: RNAcentral